This 253-nucleotide ribosomal RNA is filed under the name uncultured bacterium. RNAcentral describes it as "partial 16S ribosomal RNA". It matches the Rfam family "Bacterial small subunit ribosomal RNA", at positions 524 to 776 of the family's 1533-position model. The record is from RNAcentral.
GACAGAGGCCCCAAGCGUUAGGCGGAAUCACUGGGCUUAAAGCGUGUGUAGGCGGAUCGUUAAGUGUCUUGUGAAAUCCCACGGCUCACCCGUGGAACUGCUGGGCAUACUGGCGAUCUUGGGCCAACUAGGGGCAGCCGGAACAAGCGGUGGAGCGGUGAAAUGCGUAGAUAUCGCUUGGAACGCCGAAGGUGAAAACAGGCUGCUGGGGUUGUGCCGACGCUGAGACACGAAAGCGUGGGGAGCAAACAGG